Molecule: ribosomal RNA, 504 nt
Filed under: uncultured bacterium
Lineage: Bacteria
Description: partial 16S ribosomal RNA
Rfam family: Bacterial small subunit ribosomal RNA
Source: RNAcentral
AUUGAACGCUGGCGGCAGGCCUAACACAUGCAAGUCGAGCGGUAGCACAGGGAGCUUGCUCCUGGGUGACGAGCGGCGGACGGGUGAGUAAUGUCUGGGAAACUGCCUGAUGGAGGGGGAUAACUACUGGAAACGGUAGCUAAUACCGCAUAACGUCGCAAGACCAAAGAGGGGGACCUUCGGGCCUCUUGCCAUCAGAUGUGCCCAGAUGGGAUUAGCUAGUAGGUGGGGUAACGGCUCACCUAGGCGACGAUCCCUAACUGGUCUGAGAGGAUGACCAGCCACACUGGAACUGAGACACGGUCCAGACUCCUACGGGAGGCAGCAGUGGGGAAUAUUGCACAAUGGGCGCAAGCCUGAUGCAGCCAUGCCGCGUGUAUGAAGAAGGCCUUCGGGUUGUAAAGUACUUUCAGCGGGGAGGAAGGCGAUAAGGUUAAUAACCUUGUCGAUUGACGUUACCCGCAGAAGAAGCACCGGCUAACUCCGUGCCAGCCGCCGCAGUAA